GAUGAACGCUGGCGGCGUGCCUAAUACAUGCAAGUCGAGCGAACGGAUGAGAAGCUUGCUUCUCUGAUGUUAGCGGCGGACGGGUGAGUAACACGUGGAUAACCUACCUAUAAGACUGGGAUAACUUCGGGAAACCGGAGCUAAUACCGGAUAAUAUUUUGAACCGCAUGGUUCAAAAGUGAAAGACGGUCUUGCUGUCACUUAUAGAUGGAUCCGCGCUGCAUUAGCUAGUUGGUAAGGUAACGGCUUACCAAGGCAACGAUGCAUAGCCGACCUGAGAGGGUGAUCGGCCACACUGGAACUGAGACACGGUCCAGACUCCUACGGGAGGCAGCAGUAGGGAAUCUUCCGCAAUGGGCGAAAGCCUGACGGAGCAACGCCGCGUGAGUGAUGAAGGUCUUCGGAUCGUAAAACACUGUUAUUAGGGAAGAACAUAUGUGUAAGUAACUGUGCACAUCUUGACGGUACCUAAUCAGAAAGCCACGGCUAACUACGUG
Molecule: ribosomal RNA, 497 nt
Filed under: uncultured bacterium
Lineage: Bacteria
Description: partial 16S ribosomal RNA
Rfam family: Bacterial small subunit ribosomal RNA
Source: RNAcentral